Molecule: long non-coding RNA, 6270 nt
Filed under: Sus scrofa (pig)
Lineage: Eukaryota; Metazoa; Chordata; Mammalia; Artiodactyla; Suidae
Description: lncRNA (ENSSSCG00065039580.1)
Source: RNAcentral
CCCGUGGCAUAUGGAAAUUCCCAGGAGAGGGGUCGAAUUAGAGCUAUAGCUAUGUCUGCAACCUACACCACAGCUUGAGGCAACACCAGAUUCUUAACCCAUUCAGCAGGGCCAGGGAUGGAAGCCACAUCUUCAAGGAUACUAGUCAGAUUCGUUAAUGCUGAGCCACCCAUGGGAACUCCCAGAUCUUUGUUUCUUUAAACCUGUGUCCUUACAAUUUCAAAAGCCAUCUUCACAAUCUUUGCUUUUCUCUUUUCCUGCCAAUUUCCUCAUUCUUGGCAGUAUCAUUGCUACUUGUCCACUUUCUACUGUCUUCUCAAUGUUUAUCCAUGUGCAUGUGUCUUGCCUCUUGUGCCUACAUGUGUGCCUCUCACUUGCAGAGACAGGAUCAGAAGAUGUUACGGAAGUAAGGUGAGGGUGUUACGAUGUCAGGUGUGGGAGUUAUAAAGUCAAAGCCAUUCACUCAGUCAAUACAUCACCAGAUGAUGGAUUUAUUUAGCUCAUCAUACCAGUUUCCUAGGGCAGUUGUAACAAAUUACCACAAGCUAAGGACCUUGAAACAAUGGAAAUCUAUUUUCUCACAGUUCUGAAAGCCAAAAGUCCAAAACCAAGGCAUUAACUAGGUUCCAAAGGAUCUAGGGGAUGAGGAUUUGCAUCUUCCAACUUCUGGUGACUGCUGGAAAUUCUGAUAUCCUUUGGUUUUACAGGUAACAUUCCAAUCUCUGCUUCCUUCUUCACAAGCCUUUCUUUGUCUUCUUUUUGUCUUUUACAGAAGUACUUGUCAUUGGAUUUAGGGCCCACCCUAAUCUAAAAUAAUCCCAUUUUGAAAUCCUUAUCCUAACAGCAAAUGGAGUUCCUGUUGUGGCUCAGCCAAGACUAAUCUGACUAGCAUCCAUGAGGAUACAGUUUCAAUCCCUGGCCUCACUUGGUGGGUUAAAGAUCUGGCAUUGCAGUGAGCUGUGGCAUAGGCUGGCAGCUACAGCUCCGAUUAGGACCCUAGCCUGGGAAUCUAUAUACUGCGAGUGCAGUCCUAAAUAAAAAGACCCUUAUUCCAAAUAAGGUUACAUUUUGAGGGUCCGUGUCUUUUGGAGGGGUCACCAUUCAAUUUGCUAUACCUAUUUAUAGACUUUCAACUUAAUUGACUAAAAUAUACUAAUACUCGUAAAAUAUACUAAUACUCGUCACUCGUUUUUUUAUAUUAACAAGUAAUAUAUAUUUUACUUGGCAAUGAUACAUACUCUAAGACUAACCACAAGUAUAAAAAUCUGGCUAAUGAUAUGGAAAUCAAAACACUAUCUUUCCUAUUGUGGCACAGUGGAAACAAAUCUGACUAGGAACCAUGAGGUUGUGGGUUCAAUCCCUGGUCUCGCUCAGUGUGUUAAGGAUCUGGUGUUGCCGUGAGCUAUGGUGUAAGUCACAGUCAUGGCUCCGAUCUGGCGUUGCUGUGGCUGUGGUGUAGGCCAGCAGCUGUAGCUCUGAUUCAAUCCCUAGCCUGGGAACCUCCAUAUGAUGUGGGUGUGGCCCUAACAAGAAAAAAAAGGGGGGGGUCAUAUUAAGGUAAAUAAUAAUGACCUUAUCAAAGGAUAAUUAAUACGCACAAAAUAGUGGAGGUCUGUUCAUAUCUAUAGGCAACAAAUAUAAACAGAUCCUCCCUUUUUCAAUUAAAGAUCAGCAUAAAACUAAUACACACAUUCAUAGGGCAAAAGCUCAAUAAAAGCUGACAGUGCUAAUAAAACAACAGGACAUAUGAAAAACGUGGGAAACAUGUUAGAACGCAGAUUUUAGUGUAGUAGGUCAGUGGUAGGUCAUGAGAUUUUGUAUUCUAUCAAGCUUUCAGGUAAUGACCCCACACUUUGAAUAUAAGCAUGGUUGUAGAGAAUCAAGCUAUUCCAACAGGGCUAAAAAAUAAUAAUAAUGUCACACAGGCUACAGAUUACAAGGCUUGUAGUCAUUCAGCAGAUAUUCAUUGGUCUCCUAUUCUGUACCAGUCACUGUGGAAAAUACAAAGAUAAAUGAAAUCUAAUUCAUAAUCUCAAGAGUCUCUCAGCUAAUUGUGGAUUUUUUAAAAAAAAAUUGACAUCUAACCUUCUGUUUCAAAUACUGUUAGGGAAAUAACAGAAAUAAGAAAUUUUAUAAAUAGGCAAAACAUUAAUCUAUAUUUAAGCAAAUUUUCUAAAAAUUGAUGUAAUUGGUCUCUAUUCCAAAAGAUACAACUUUUCCACAAUGAAGGCGGUAUCUUACCUGUGGACUGUUCUCAGGGAGGUGCCAUGACAAUACAAUUCUUGCUAGGAUUGGGGACCAAUAAUCAGAAUGGUACUGUGAGGUCUAGACUGGAAGCAGAUGCAGUGAUGGUCAGGGAUAACUCAUAAAAAGGUAAUAAAAGAUAUACAGAAGAAAGCAUGUAAUUUUCAGAAAAAUCGAUUGAUUCUUAUUUUUGAAUUUAGUUCUACACAUCACUAAAGAGAUGCACUAGAGAAUGAUGGUCCUGGGUGCUGAAGUCUAAAUGGAUGUAAUUGUUUCUUUUUUCAUGUAGGCUUGAGUUAAGGUGGGGAAUUCAUGGGCAGGCAGCAGCUAAGGCAAUUGGUUUAUAACUGUCGUUGAGUUGGUUUUUAAUGAGAAUCCACCAGAGACUAUCUGAUCAUGACAGUGGUCUAGAUAUUUGCACAUAUAUAUAUGUGUGUGGUGUGUGUGUGUGUGUGUGUAUAUAUAUGUGUGUGUGUGUAUAUAUAUAUAUACGUACACACGUAUAUAUAGCAUUACAUAUACAUGUGUGUAUACAAAAUACAUUAUCAGGAGGAUUUUUAGAGUGCUGGAAACUUGCCCUUCGAGGAACCUGUUCAUGCUCCCUCUGCUAUGGAAGGUAGCAGUGACCUUCUGAUCUUCUUGGCCUAAAGACUCAAAGCAAAAUUAAGCUUGCAACAUCACAAACAUGGCCCAUUCUCAGUGACCAAUUACGAAAAUAUGACUGUUCACAUUUAAACUUAUUUUGAUCAGGAACACUCAAGACUACAGAAUAUUCAGUUUCUACAUUAGACAUGAAUUUUUACCAAUUAGUGGACUGAGGGUUCUGAAGCCAACCUGCCACCAUGGCAUAGAUAAGGAUGGCAAAUGGCUAUUUUAACUGCCAUCACCAAAUUUCACUGCAUAAAGACUACAUUAUGUCUUCAAAAAGUUUAACUGUACCUCAUCAUCCCCAAAGCAGACAUAGUGGAUGAGAUGUUUAGUUUUGCUUUCUACAUUGAUCAAACAAGCUAGCUGUCAAAUAUACACUGCAGGAUUGUAUGUAGAGCUCUACUGCCUAAAUCAUUCAUUAUCAACCUAUGGAGCUUUAUUUUCCUCCUUAAAGGCCUACUCAGACCAGUUUAUUACAGCACAUAUGGGGUCUAUUUUUAGACCCAGAAUGCUUUUUAUAGUUCCUGCAUUUGGGGAAAUAGGAAAGACGCAACCAGAGACAACACACUGCUUUCUGUUCUCCUGUCACCAGGCAUGCCAUGACUCGCUUUAGCAUAGAAAGGGGAGCAUUGUGCUUGCAUACAGAGUUUUCUUUUGGGGUGACAGUAUCUAGCCUGUGGUUCUUAUAGAACAUAUGCCCUACUUUUCACAAAUCAGCAAAGGGGCACAGAUGGUUUCAUCAGUCCAAAAUGUUACCAAGAUUCCUUCAAGUUUCUACAAGUUUCAUAUACAGGUGAUAGAAGACACAGGAGAAGAGACACCAAGGAUCCCGGAGCACUGGGUUGGACCCUGAGAACAAGGAGUGGUCUUAGGUCUGAGGGUCUUACAGUCUUAUGGUGGCAUAUUGGAAAGGGUGUAAUUCUCACUCUGAACUACUCUUGGCAAAAUAAGAUGUGCUGUUUGGCGUCUUACAAGUUGAUUCUCCUGAUUCCUUUCUCCUACAGACACGAACAUUGAAAAAACUUGAGGAAAAGCCAAGUGCAGUAACUCUAAUGUACCACCAGGUGACAGUGUUUCUAAAAUUAAUCUAUGAUUCUAGUGCACCCAAGCUUGUUUUGGUAGCGGAACCACAUUUUAAGACAGGUGAAUGAACAAUCACAUAAUUGUUUUUAAACAAUAAAUCAAACCAGGUACUGAACUUCUUUUAUUAAUUACAGUUAUUCCAACGUGAUAAGACCACACACUCAAGGGACAGCAGUGGGAGGUUAAUCUUGGGCUGAAUAGGCCAGAAGGAGUGAGUAAGUAGUUUGAAAAGCUGAUGUUCAGCUAUCCCUCUGAAGCUUAGGAUCCACUAGAUUGAACUAGAACACGUAAAAAAUGUAAUCCAUGUUUGUUAAAUAAUGGCAUCAACACACUACAACCUGAGACCUUAAAGCAGUAGGUAAUCAAUUAAUGGCAUCCAAAGCUCAUGUAAUUUUGUCUAAAAGACACAUCUGGUCUCAAGGGUUUGCUCUAACCAAUAUGGAUAAAAUGAGUAUUUGGGAUUCAUUUGCCGAAAUGGUCAUAAUUUUCAGGAAGUGAACCUAUAGAGAGGAAAUAUUUAAAGUAACCCAAAUACAGUGGGGACUUCUGGCUAUCAGAAAGGAGAAUAGGAAUAAAAAGGAGAAGGAAGAGAAAUGAUCAGUGGUUUUCACUAUAGGCUUGGUGUGUGAUAACUAAAAAAAAACUUACCUUGGCCUAAAUGGAAAGAGUCAUAAAAAUAAAACUCUGUGGAGUUGGUUCAAGCAGUCAGCUUCCCCCACACCCAGGAGCACGCCAGUGCCUACUGUCAGAGCUGAUGGCUUCAGUUCCACUCAUUUCUGCUAAAGUGCCUAUAAUACACUGACUGCCAAGGUGACUGAGAUUCUAUUUACUGUUUAUUUGAAACAAUAUUUACUUUAUAUUAAAACUUAUUUACAGUAAGUAGCAGAGCUGUGAUGUACAUCUAGGUUCUGGAUUAUAAACAGAGUCCUCCCCCCCUAUUACAUACCAUUCAACUGCUGUCCAUUACUUCCAUUUUGGGGCAGCUUGAAGAGAGAUGAAUAGAAAGGGAUGGGGGGGAGGUGAGAAGACAUGGAGAGAAGGAUGUCUCACAGAGGUGUGUAUUAGUACAGAAGGGUGGAAACAGAAUAAUAUCUGGAAAAAGAAGAAGCACGCUCUCAGCCUUCUAUUUCACUUUCCCUCCUCCUGUAAUAUCUGCCACACUCUCCCAUCCUCAUUAUGACUUCUAUACGCUCCUUUUCGCAUUACUACUUCCCCAAAUCCCAAGUUAAAUUACAGAACAAGGUAGGAAAAGAAAUGACUCCUUAACACUGCUGAGUGACUACAGCAAUUUGCACCUCCCAUGGGAGUCCUCAUGUGGUCAGCCUAGUCUACAUACCGUAAAAAGGGACACUAAAGCCCAAGGAAGCACCUUUUGUUUUACGUCAGGUUCCCCAGAAAACAGUCUCUGUAACUGAGAUUUGCUUGCAAAAGCUCUGGAGCUAGAAUGGCCUUUCAGAGUUGCUUAGCCUUUAGGCAAAGGAAACUUGAUACUCCUUAUCAACCGGUCAUUAACAUGAACUGUCCUCAGGGAGAAGACCUGGUAUGGCAAGUGGCUGCCUUUGGUUGAAAGGAAUUCCCAGAGAGGGAAUCAGUUGAGAGUCAUACAGCACCAAUACUCACAGCAACUCGGAAUGAGUUUCUUGUCUGGGAAAGGGGAUCUGAGCAGCACAUAUACAACAUUCAUUACUAAAGCUGGGAUUCCCUCAGCUAGGCAAAUCAUGCUCAUGACUAUAGCAGCAAGUGAAUUGGUUCAUUAUGACGGAAUGAAUUCUUUGGGAGUCAAACACAUAUAACAUGGGUACUAAUGAUGUGGGAAUUCAGUGCCUUUAUUCCAGACAUUUGGAAGAUGCUAAUCUCAGACUAUACAAGAGAUUAAUUGUACACUUGCCUAUGGCAAAUCAUAAGUUUGCAUGGGAUAUUUGGCGGGUGUGUUCUACUUAUGAAAACCUGGAAAGUAGAUGAAGUUUUUAAGUUCAUAAAAUUAAACCAAAAGGACAUCGUGUCUAACCUCUCAUGUAAUGCUUUUGUGCCCUCUGCCACAUCCUAAGUGACCAUCCAGUCUGUUUGUGUGCACUUCAAAGACAAAAAGGCAUAAUCUCCAGCAAUAAGCUGUUCCCUGUUCUGAAUAGACCUGAAUGCUACAAGUUCAGUUCAGCAUAAAGACAGAUUAUCUGUUCAUCUAUAAGUUCCAAAAGUUGGUCUAAUUCUGUCUUUUGGGAGUUAAUUCUUCUUUUACACUCUAAGGGAUACUUCAGAUGUUUAAAGACGGAUCAUGACCCUUCUAAAAUAAAGUCA